AGACCCAAAGAGAGAGGCAGGGUCUGAUCCGCAGCCUCUGUGGAAGAUGUUGAUCAGCCGUUGCCUCUCUCUUUUUCUCGG
Myotis davidii is the source of this 81-nucleotide non-coding RNA. The record is from Rfam. NCBI's taxonomy places the organism in Eukaryota, Metazoa, Chordata, Mammalia, Chiroptera, Vespertilionidae.